Long non-coding RNA from Ruditapes philippinarum (Manila clam), 3518 nucleotides. RefSeq lists it as uncharacterized. The record is from RefSeq and is a predicted model, not a curated record. NCBI's taxonomy places the organism in Eukaryota, Metazoa, Mollusca, Bivalvia, Venerida, Veneridae. The transcript has 5 exons.
GGCAGCCACCUUUCUAACGACAUUUUGACCUCAAGAAAAACCUUCAUAUAAGAGUUACCCAGUGGAACAUCAAAUGCUGUGUUUUAUUGAGAAUGAACGAUAAGUGUUUUCAGGGACAUUUAUGUUGAGUUUUUUAACACAUGUAUCAAUGACAUAAUGCUAAUUAUUCAUUUAUUUACAAAUUAAAAGAAUAUACAUAUUUAUACCAUAUAUAUUCCUUUUCUUAAUUUUCUCAGAUAUAUAUCAGGCAGAUAGGCCUUAAGAAUUACUUCUAUGUGUAACUUCUCCUACAUUUCUCAUCCGAAUUUGACCAACUUUCCACAGAAGCUUUCUCAUUAAGUGCCUAAUGUGCAUAGUGUUGUUGUUUUGCAAUUCAAAAAAUCUUUGGCUGCAUAACGGCCCUUUGCUUAAAAAACCCCCAGAUAAAUACAUGUACAAGUUCUAUGAUAUUUCUCAGGUGAUUUUGACAAAACUUUCACAGAAGUUUUGUUAUCGAGGGUCCUGGUGCAUAUUGUCAGUAUUUAAUGAUUUAAAUUUUUUGGGCAGAAUCAUGACCCUUUUUUCAAUUAGAGAAAUACACUUCUGUUCUUUAAAAAAUUUCAUUAAACUUGAAAAGAAGCAUCAUCACCAAGAGUGCUUGCACAUAUUGUCCGUGUUUUGCAAAUAUUUUGGCAGAAUUAUGCCCUCUUUGUUACAUAAAAUUACUCUUAUGUUUGCAUUUCUUGUUUGAUUCUAGAAGCUACUCAUGCUAUUAUACUAGAUUGAAAUUUUAUACAUAUGUAUAAAACAAACAAAAUGACAAAAGCAACAUAAUUUACUACUAGAAUAGAUAAGAAUUAUGAAUAAAAUUGAAUGUUCUAAAGUAUGUAAUAAUAUGCAUCUAAUAAUAAUUACAUAAAGUUAGCAUUUUAGACCGGUAGGAACUUGAAAGAUACAAAGAAAUAUUCAUCUAUAGAUUAUAAAUGUACAAACAAAUUGAAAGGCCAUAAAUCCCUCUAAACUUUUUUGAAUUGCAAAAUGCUGACAAUAUGUCCAAGGGCACUAGAUGAUGAUGUGACAAUAUGUCCCAGGGCACUAGAUGAUGAUGUGACAAUAUGUCCCAGGGCACUAGAUGAUGAUGUGACAAUAUGUCCCAGGGCACUAGAUGAUGAUGUGACAAUAUGUCCCAUGGCACUAGAUGAUGAUGCUGACAAUAUGUCCCACGGCACUAGAUGAUGAUGCUGAAAUGUUAAGUUGAAAACAUUAUUUCAUAAUGUUGCAGCAUUUCUUGUUACAAUAUAUAUCCAGGACAGGCAAUGGAUAUAGAUUUAUUAUAAGUAUAAGGUUUUCAUACAAACAUUUAUCAGAUAGGUUAACAUUCUUUGCAGACUGGCUUUAGCAGAGCUUGCCACAUCAAAAUUCUUCUAAGGACCAGAAUAUUCAAAGGUAUUGACACACAAUCUGCAACUGGUCGAGAAGGAUCAUUACAGACUUGUCGGUGGAUUGUUAGCUCUUUCUCUGAUAAAGGACGGACCUGGGAUCCAUUGCCUUAAUAAGCAACUAUUUCCUCUUAUGGACAAGAAGCUGAAUCAACACCAAUUGAGCAAAUCAUGGAUCCUGAAUUUCUGCAAUGUUUGGAAAUGUUGGAAACAGUCAACACAGACCAACAGAAAGAUCAGUUCUUGUCAAGAUAUGGUGACUGGCUUAUGGACAAGAGUAUAAAUAUUUACAGGUUCCAGAUAAAAGAAAAGGAAUCUGUAAAACAUAUGCUUAUAAAGUAUUAUGUCUUAUACAGGUAAUUUAUUAAUCCCUUUCCACAUAGUGUGGAAGGGAUUAUAGGAAUGGCCUCCAUCUGUCAGUCCGUCUGCCCUUCCCGGGCCAUCUAACUGUAAACUGAACAAAAGACUUCAUCCGUAACAAUAGAUUAAGGGGCCAUGGCCCUCUGUUCAAUCAAAAGGAAAUAACAUAAGAAAUGGCCCAUUAGUCCAAUUUGGCGGAGCAUCUGUCUGUCCGUUCGUAACAAUUUUGUGUCUGCUCCAUCACUUUUAAAUCGCUGAAAUUUUUUUUAAAUAACAUGCCACAAGUGAUCACCAUUAUGAGACAAUGUGCAAAGCGCAAUAAUUGGGUUACUACCCUCAAGGUCAAGGUCAAACUUAAAGGUCAAGUGUUAAAAGUUUACAUUUUGUGUCCGCUCCAUAACAUUUAAACUGCUGCAAUUUUUUCAGAUCACUUGGCAGAAAUGAUCACCAGUAUGACAUGAAGUGUAGAAACCAACAUCCAGGUUGCUACCCCCAAGGUGAAGGUUAAAUGUUCUCCAUAACUUUUCGACUUUAUGGAAGUUUUUAAAUAUCUUUGCACAAAUAAUUACAAUCAUGAGACUAUGUGCCUACAAUAUGCAUGGCACAACAUCAAGGUCAUGAUUGGUUAAUGGUCAAGAAGAACACAUUCAUGUCUGCUGCGGAAAGGGAUUUAGCUGUCCUUCAGAUUGCCUUGUUAAUAUUUAUGUUGAAAACUCAUGUAUAAUAAAUGAAUAUUGGAAAAGGAGGAAUAUUGUUUUUGCAGUUUGAUGUCAAGUCUGUUGGUUGAAAGGUUGACCAGCUGAAUUCCCCUUGUUAACUAGAAAACUAAUUUGUCCACAGUCUUCAAACAUAACAGGAUGACCAUCCUCCCCCCUCAUUGAGUAGAUAAGCCUAAUGUUUUCAGGCACUCAUGCCUGAACCAUUUCUGCCCAAUUACUUGAGAAGCAUUUUACCUAUAGCAUUCAAAAGUUAUAAGAUGUUGACUCUUAUUAAGUACAUCUCCCCUAUUGUUUUUGGGCAAUUAUGCAUGAUGGUCAAGGUCACAGUGAACCAUUCCAGCUCAAUAACUAGAGAACCACUUGGCUCACAGUCUUUACACUUCACAGGAUGAUCACUCUUAUUGCUAAUGAUGAAUCUUUUUGUUUUUGGGCACUCACACAGAAGCAUUGGCUGAUGGUUUAACUGUCCAAAUAUCUCAUUGGUUUCCUUGGGAGACAUACUUGAAAUGCUCAAAGUAUAGUAUAUAAACGAUUUGAACCCCAACCGGAUCUUGUGAGAAGAUCUCAGCAUCUAAACGUACAACCAGGCAGAAUGACACAUUAAACUAUUAAAGAUCGGAUUGAAUUUAAUGUGUUACGAUGGAAACCAGCUCGCAACUUUGGAGGAUAUAUUGGCUUUUAUAACUGGGGCAAGCAACAUUCCGCCUUGUGGUUUUAGUAAGGCUAAAGAAGUUUUUAUAACUGGGGCAAGCAACAUUCCGCCUUGUGGUUUUAGUAAGGCUAUAGAAGUUUUUAUAACUGGGGCAAGCAACAUUCCGCCUUGUGGUUUUAGUAAGGCUAUAGAAGUUUUUAUAACUGGGGCAAGCAACAUUCCGCCUUGUGGUUUUAGGUAAGGCUAUAGAAGUUUUUAUAACUGGGGCAAGCAACAUUCCGCCUUGUGGUUUUAGUAAGGCUAUAGAAGUUUUUAUAACUGGGCAAGCAACAUUCCGCCUUGUGGUUUUAGUAAGGCUAUAGAAGUUUU